Molecule: transfer RNA, 66 nt
Filed under: Rugilus geniculatus
Lineage: Eukaryota; Metazoa; Arthropoda; Insecta; Coleoptera; Staphylinidae
Description: tRNA-Gly
Rfam family: tRNA
About the family: Transfer RNA (tRNA) molecules are approximately 80 nucleotides in length. Their secondary structure includes four short double-helical elements and three loops (D, anti-codon, and T loops).
Source: RNAcentral
GUUUAUAUAGUAUAAUAAUUAUAUUUGAUUUCCAAUCAAAUGAUCUAAUAAAAAUUAGUUUAAACA